AGUGAACGCUGGCGGCAGGCUUAACACAUGCAAGUCGAACGGCAGCGCGGUCUGCGGCCUCUCUUCGGGGUGGGAAGUGGCGAGUAGUAGAGCAAUACGUGGCCAUCUAUUUUUUAGAGGUGGGUAAAGUCCGGAAUAAUACGCCAAAACAGCAUACGACGAAAGGGUGGGAGCAUGGGACCUUCGGCCAUUGGAGGGGCCAAUGAGACGAUGUCGGAUUAGCUAGUUGGAGGGGUAAAGGCCCACCAAGGCGACGAUCUGUAGCUGGUCUGAGAGGAUGAUCAGCCACACUGGAACUGAGACACGGUCCAGACUCCUACGGGAGGCAGCAGUGGGGAAUUUUGGACAAUGGGCGCAAGCCUGAUCCAGCCAUGCCGCGUGUGUGAUGAAGGCCUUCGGGUUGUAAAGCACUUUUGGUGGGAAAGAAAAGCACUGUGUUAAUACCACGCUUUGCUGACGGUACCCAAAGAAUAAGCACCGGCUAACUUCGUG
RNAcentral lists this ribosomal RNA (492 nucleotides) under uncultured bacterium. RNAcentral's name for it is "partial 16S ribosomal RNA". It matches the Rfam family "Bacterial small subunit ribosomal RNA", at positions 29 to 507 of the family's 1533-position model. The record is from RNAcentral.